RNAcentral lists this ribosomal RNA (406 nucleotides) under uncultured bacterium. RNAcentral's name for it is "partial 16S ribosomal RNA". It matches the Rfam family "Bacterial small subunit ribosomal RNA", at positions 29 to 526 of the family's 1533-position model. The record is from RNAcentral.
AUUGAACGCUGGCGGCAGGCCUAACACAUGCAAGUCGAACGAGUGGCGGACGGGUGAGUAAUGUCUGGGAAACUGCAUGAUGGAGGGGGAUAACUACUGGAAACGGUAGCUAAUACCGCAUACCAUCGGAGGGGCCCAGAUGGGAUUAGCUAGUAGGUGGGGUAAAGGCUCACCUAGGCGACGAUCCCUAGCUGGUCUGUGAGGAUGACCAGCCAAACUGGAACUGAGACACGGUCCAGAGUCCUACGCGAGGCAGCAGUAGGGAAUAUUGCGAAAGGUGCGCGAGCCUGAUGCAGCAAUGGCGCGUGUAUGAGGAAGGCUGUCGGGUUGUAAAGGACUUUCAGCGGGGAGGCGUUGCCAGCAGAGGAAGCAACGGCUAACUCCGUUCCAGCAGCCGCGGUAAUAC